RNAcentral lists this ribosomal RNA (445 nucleotides) under uncultured bacterium. RNAcentral's name for it is "partial 16S ribosomal RNA". It matches the Rfam family "Bacterial small subunit ribosomal RNA", at positions 354 to 796 of the family's 1533-position model. The record is from RNAcentral.
GUGAGGAAUAUUGGUCAAUGGGCGAGAGCCUGAACCAGCCAAGUCGCGUGAAGGAUGAAGGUUUUAUGAAUUGUAAACUUCUUUUGCAGGGGAAUAAAGUACGGUACGUGUACCGUUUUGUAUGUACUCUGCGAAUAAGGAUCGGCUAACUCCGUGCCAGCAGCCGCGGUAAUACGGAGGAUCCAAGCGUUAUCCGGAUUUAUUGGGUUUAAAGGGUGCGCAGGCGGGUUGAUAAGUCAGCGGUGAAAGUUUGCAGCUUAACUGUAAAAUUGCCGUUGAAACUGUCGAUCUUGAGUGCAAAUGAGGUAAGCGGAAUGUGUUGUGAAGCGGUGAAAUGCUUAGAUAUAACACAGAACACCGAUUGCGAAGGCAGCUUACUGGGAUGCAACUGACGCUCAUGCACGAAAGCGUGGGGAUCAAACAGGAUUAGAAACCCCGGUAGUCC